UGGGGAAUAUUGCACAAUGGGCGAAAGCCUGAUGCAGCAACGCCGCGUGAGUGAUGAAGGUCUUCGGAUUGUAAAGCUCUGUCUUUUGGGACGAUAAUGACGGUACCAAAGGAGGAAGCCACGGCUAACUACGUGCCAGCAGCCGCGGUAAUACGUAGGUGGCGAGCGUUGUCCGGAUUUACUGGGCGUAAAGGGUGCGUAGGCGGAUGUUUAAGUGAGAUGUGAAAUACCCGGGCUUAACUUGGGUGCUGCAUUUCAAACUGGAUAUCUAGAGUGCAGGAGAGGAGAAUGGAAUUCCUAGUGUAGCGGUGAAAUGCGUAGAGAUUAGGAAGAACACCAGUGGCGAAGGCGAUUCUCUGGACUGUAACUGACGCUGAGGCACGAAAAGCGUGGGUAGCAAACAGGAUUAGAUACCCUGGUAGUCCACGCCGUAAACGAUGAGUACUAGGUGUAGGAGGUAUCGACCCCUUCUGUGCCGCAGUAAACACAUUAAGUACUCCCGCCUGGGAAGUACGAUCGCAAGAUUAAAACUCUAAAGUGAAUUGACGGGGUC
This 553-nucleotide ribosomal RNA is filed under the name uncultured bacterium. Its description in RNAcentral is "partial 16S ribosomal RNA". It matches the Rfam family "Bacterial small subunit ribosomal RNA", at positions 355 to 920 of the family's 1533-position model. The record is from RNAcentral.